GGAUUAGAUACCCUGGUAGUCCACACCGUAAACGAUGAAUGCCAGUCGUCGGCAAGCAUGCUUGUCGGUGACACACCUAACGGAUUAAGCAUUCCGCCUGGGGAGUACGGUCGCAAGAUUAAAACUCAAAGGAAUUGACGGGGGCCUGCACAAGCGGUGGAGCAUGUGGUUUAAUUCGACGCAACGCGCAGAACCUUACCAGCGUUUGACAUCUUGGUCGCGGAUUUCAGAGAUGAAUUCCUUCAGUUCGGCUGGACCAAUGACAGGUGCUGCAUGGCUGUCGUCAGCUCGUGCCG
Molecule: ribosomal RNA, 296 nt
Filed under: uncultured bacterium
Lineage: Bacteria
Description: partial 16S ribosomal RNA
Rfam family: Bacterial small subunit ribosomal RNA
Source: RNAcentral